CGAAGGCUCCAAAGGAAGCCACGGCUAACUCUGUGCCAGCAGCCGCGGUAAUACAGAGGUGGCAAGCGUUGUUCGGAAUUAUUGGGCGUAAAGAGCACGUAGGUGGGUUUAUAAGUCAGAUGUGAAAGCCUUCUGUUCAACGGGAGAAUUGCAUCUGAAACUGUAAGUCUUGAGUAUAGGAGGGGAGAAUGGAACUUCUGGUGGAGCGGUGAAAUGCGUAGAUAUCAGGAGGAACGCCGGCGGCGAAAGCGACUCUCUGGCCUAUUACUGACACUCAGUGUGCGAAAGCUAGGGGAGCAAACGGGAUUAGAUACCCCGGUAGUCCUAGCUGUAAA
Molecule: ribosomal RNA, 335 nt
Filed under: uncultured Planctomycetales bacterium
Lineage: Bacteria; Pseudomonadati; Planctomycetota; Planctomycetia; Planctomycetales
Description: bacterial SSU rRNA
Rfam family: Bacterial small subunit ribosomal RNA
Source: RNAcentral